Molecule: non-coding RNA, 3684 nt
Organism: Coffea arabica (coffee)
Lineage: Eukaryota; Viridiplantae; Streptophyta; Magnoliopsida; Gentianales; Rubiaceae
Source: RefSeq, a predicted model, not a curated record
CCUUGAGUUAACUCAGUGCAAAACCAUAUCUACCUGGAUGUAGAUUGGAACAGCAUAAACAACUUUCAGAUUGAGAGUCCAUUUGCAUGAUAGAAAGAGAUAAUACUAUGAAAAUUGAGGGAAAAAAGAUACAAAUAAUUUAGGGGUAUAGGUAAAGAAAGAUUAAACUGGGUAAAUUCCUGGCACAAAUUAACUGAAAUGGGGGUGCUUAAAAAAAGAGGAAAUGGCAUAAGAAAAGGCAAAGAAAGUGGCAUAGGAUAUUAGACGGAAAACACUAGAAAAGGUGAGUGUUCUAUGGCAAUUUCUCCAAGGAAAUUAAAUAUGGGACAAAGUGAGCCAAGGAGGCUUUGGUUUAUUGGUUAAAGGUUCAGAUUUUAGGAAUUAGAAGUUGUAUUUACAUGCAUGCACUUGGAAUGUUUGAAGUAGCAGUUUCCGCCUCUGUUUGGGCUGCCUAAUCCACUUGUUCUCAAGAGGGACAUCUACAAUUGCAUCUGCAACUGUGGAUACUACUCUACCUAAAAUGAGACUAAUUAUUCUUGUGUUACCGUUGUAAUGUUCAGGGCAGCUGAUAAUCAUCUUCUUUCAAAUGAACAAACAUAUCACCGUAGUUAUCUAUCUGUUCACUCUCAUUAUUGUUCAUUGUCUCUAUAGAUCACAUGUACUGCUUUUGUGGCCCAAAUUUCCAUUCAUUUUGGUGACAUGAAAUAAAAUGUCAUUUUGUUCUGCUUCGUUGUCAGAAAAAUGCUCAAGACAGUUUUGAACGUGUUUCUGGGAAUUGUAGCAAAUCUUGGCAUAGAGUGGAUGCGCAGUCACUCAGGCCUUGACGCAAAGAUGAAGACUCUAGAAAGAAGAAUUCGUGUGCUGACCAAAAAAGCACGUGACAUACACAUGACAAUAAGACAUGAGCAAGACCUACAUUCAGGAUAUAAAAGAAAGAGGGAAGUUGGGGAUUGGUUGAAAAAUGUAAAAAGAAAGAAAAUGAAAUACCAAGGCCUGAAAAGAGAUUACCAGAGGAGACCAUUUCCUUCGCGUAUUUCAUUGGCACGGUACGUUGAUGCAAUGAUUCAGGAGGCAUCAGAUCUUCUUGAACAAGGGUCAUUUUGCGGUGGCUAUAUGAUUACUGUCCAUGAGGAGAGCAAGCCCCUGGUAACAGAAGAGCUGAUAGGCCAAUCAGUUCAACAAAAUUUGACAGACACACGGGCUUUGUUAAUGGAUGACAAGGUUUCAUGCAUUGGAAUCUAUGGUAUGCCUGGAGUAGGCAAGACGGCUGUAGCAAGUCAUAUCCAUAACGAGCUAUUAAAAGAAGACAAAUUUUUGAAGCAUGUAUAUUGGUUCAGUGAUGCUAAUUCUGAAGUCUCCAAAUUGCAGGACGACUUGGCGACAGUCUUGCAUCUCGAUCUCCCAAAUAUGGAUGCCGGUGAUGAUAGGAGGGCAGCCAAAUUAGCCUCGGCAUUAGAGAGGAAGAACAAGUUUGUGAUCAUACUCGACGGUUUAUUGACGCCUAUUGAUGUCGGAACGAUAGGAAUUCCUCUAGGAAAAGAAGGGAGGAAGUUGAUUGUGGUUAGUCGAUCAUUGGAUGUAUGCCACAGAACGGGAUGCCAAAAGGAAAUUAAGGUGCAACCUCUUUCUGCUGAUGAAGGUCGGAUGCUGUUUAUGGAGAAACUUCGUAGUAGGGACCAAGAGCUCCUACCGGAUGUCCAAGAGAUUUCCAGGUCUAUUUCAGAAAAGUACGGAGGUUUGCCUCUUGGGAUCAUCGCUAAGGCGAGAAGCAUGAUAGGGGCUAAUGACAUUCGCCAGUGGAGAGAUGCAUUGGCAGAGAUGGAAGAACGACCAGAUGAUGCGGUUUUUGAGGUAAUGAAAAGCAGUUUUUAUGGCUUGAGAAAUGAAAGGUGGAAGACCAGCUUCUUGCAUUGCUCUAUCCUCUUGAAAGAUGAAACAGUUCCAAGGGAUGAAGUAGUUAGAGGGCUCAUCUCGGAAGGAUUUCUAGAUAGAAGAUGCAGAGAAGCAAAGCUUGAUCAGGGUCAUACCAUACUCAAAGCACUCGAGAAGGCUUGUUUACUGGAUCGUGUUGUGAAUGAUGGAGUGGAUUGCUUGAAGAUGCAUCCUUUGAUGAGAGACAUGGCCACUGAGAUAAUGAAGAGUGAUCCAACCUACAUGGUAAAACAUCAUCAUUAUUUUCCUGCAUUUUUCUUUUGUAGGACUAGGAAUGAAGUCUAAUUGCAAUGGAAGUAGGGAGUAUUGUUUGAGUUGAGAUGGUACCAUUAACGAAUGGGGCAGUGCCAAAAUUGCUCUGCUUUUAGACAUACCAACAGAAUGCCAUAUCCCAGUGACCAUGCUGCUGUUAAUCGGUUGGACUUGGACAAGCGAAAACGUUGUUGGAGGUUCAACUCAGAAGCCAGAAAUUUGCUCUUUCGACCUUGUCGAAGCUUUCCUGUUUCUCUGUUUGUCGGGAUCUCUUCCCAAGCUUCUUGAAUUCCGGUGACUCGCUUUUCUUCCCUUCUGCCUCCCGCUGGUAAACACCCCAACUGAGUAGUUGAAAGUAAAUAUAUAGAGAUCCAAAUACUCUUUUUCUUUUUGUCUUUUUACUAUCCACCAAUUUUGCCUUUUGAAUCAUGUUUAUGCAUGCCAAAUUAAGCAAUUGAAAGUUGGAACUCAUUCUAAAACAAACAAAUUUAUACCCAACAAAAACACAUGAGAAAGAAGCCAAACUUGGGGCAAAGAACUUGGAAGAUGCAAAAAACGCCUCAAAAUGCACCAAAUCAAGAAAAGUUUUUCACAGACACAUCUGCAGUAAAGUUCUUAAAACAAACCCUUAAAAAACACGAAUCCACAUCAUUUUGCAAUAGCAUUCCUGAUUUUAAUCAGUAAUACAAUCAAAUGACUAAACCCUUUGAAACCAAACUAUGAAGUCACAUGUUAAUCAUGUUGAAUGGAUCAAGAUCUUUGAAUAGAUUAGAUUUUAUUUUCUCUUUAGAAUGGAAGCUCUUUUUCUUUUUUCAUGUUCUAACCUGAAUCAGAGAUUAAGCAAGGGUUAUGGCCCAGCAUUUCACUACUAGACCAGAGAAAUUGUAGACUAGGAGGCCGCACAUCAAUAGCAAGGAGAAAUCGAAGAAGACCAGUACAAGAUAUGAAGUCCUUGCUGGUGUUUUUUGCUAUCAACAUAUGGUAUUAUCUCUGAGAACACAUGACAAAAGUGCCAAAGGCUUGAAGAGGUGAGGACAAAGAUAACCACUGGGAAGACAAUCCGCAACCAGAGCAACACAUGAGAUACACAUGCUACUCCAGACGCUAAACACUGACAGAGCAUCCAAUGGAAGCUUAAGGCCCUGCUAGAGCUCAUAGACUCAAGACGGAUCGCUUUGGGGAAUGGAUAAAAGGGUUCAGUAGGGAAACUGGAAAUGGCAUCUAAUAUGCUGGUUGAGCUGUGGGGGCUUUAAGAUGGAUUUCCAAGAAAGCCACUCCACGUAACUGUAAGAACAUGCUUGAAAGAACUUGACAUUUCUAGCCAAAUAGUAAUAUAGGGAAGUGUUUUGUGCUAUAUGUUUUGGUGGGGAGGGGGGGAGUGGGGGUUUCUACAGCCACAGAUGCCCUGGUGCUGAAAACUUUGUCAUUCAUUUCCACUUCUUGUACCAUAAAGAACUGUUACUUAUUAACUGUCAUUUUAACCUUUAAAAUUGACACAAA